GAGGGGAGGGUCUAACCAACAAGAACUGCUAACUCUUGCAUCUGAGUAUGAAACCUCAGCCCCCUUA
Molecule: transfer RNA, 67 nt
Filed under: Saxicola maurus (Siberian stonechat)
Lineage: Eukaryota; Metazoa; Chordata; Aves; Passeriformes; Muscicapidae
Description: tRNA-Ser
Source: RNAcentral